UACGUAGGGUGCGAGCGUUAAUCGGAAUUACUGGGCGUAAAGCGUGCGCAGGCUGUUUGGUAAGUCAGAUGUGAAAUCCCCGAGCUCAACUUGGGAACUGCGUUUGAAACUACCAGACUAGAAUAUGUCAGAGGGGGGUAGAAUUCCACGUGUAGCAGUGAAAUGCGUAGAAUAUGAGAUGAC
RNAcentral lists this ribosomal RNA (183 nucleotides) under uncultured bacterium. Its description in RNAcentral is "partial 16S ribosomal RNA". It matches the Rfam family "Bacterial small subunit ribosomal RNA", at positions 524 to 706 of the family's 1533-position model. The record is from RNAcentral.